This 263-nucleotide ribosomal RNA is filed under the name uncultured bacterium. RNAcentral describes it as "partial 16S ribosomal RNA". It matches the Rfam family "Bacterial small subunit ribosomal RNA", at positions 8 to 263 of the family's 1533-position model. The record is from RNAcentral.
AGAGUUUGAUCCUGGCUCAGGACGAACGCUGGCAGCGUGCCUAACACAUGCAAGUAGAGCGGAGACAGUGAGUAGCUUGCUAUGAGCUGUUUUAGCGGCGGACGGGUGAGUAACGCGUGAGCAACCUUUCCCAGACAGGGGAAUAACACACCGAAAGGUGUACUAAUACCGCAUAAGACCACGGGAUCACAUGGUUCUGGGGUAAAAGAUUUAUCGGUUUGGGGUGGGCUCGCGUCCGAUUAGGUAGUUGGUGAGGUAACCGG